RNAcentral lists this ribosomal RNA (238 nucleotides) under uncultured bacterium. Its description in RNAcentral is "partial 16S ribosomal RNA". It matches the Rfam family "Bacterial small subunit ribosomal RNA", at positions 94 to 334 of the family's 1533-position model. The record is from RNAcentral.
ACCGGCGCACGGGUGAGUAACGCUAUGUAAUCUACCUGUAACAGAGGGAUAACCCGGAGAAAUCCGGACUAAUACCUCAUAGCACAUAUUAUUCGCAUGAAUUUUAUGUUAAAGAGACUCGGUUACAGAUGAACAUGCGUUCCAUUAGCUAGUUGGCGGGGUUACGGCCCACCAAGGCAACGAUGGAUAGGGGUUCUGAGAGGAAGGUCCCCCACACUGGUACUGAGACACGGACCAG